CGGGCCGGUAGGCUAACACAUGCAGUCGAACGGCAGCACAGGAGAGCUUGCUCUCUGGGUGGCGAGUGGCGGACGGGUGAGGAAUACAUCGGAAUCUACCUUUUCGUGGGGGAUAACGUAGGGAAACUUACGCUAAUACCGCAUACGACCUUCGGGUGAAAGCAGGGGACCUUCGGGCCUUGCGCGGAUAGAUGAGCCGAUGUCGGAUUAGCUAGUUGGCGGGGUAAAGGCCCACCAAGGCGACGAUCCGUAGCUGGUCUGAGAGGAUGAUCAGCCACACUGGAACUGAGACACGGUCCAGACUCCUACGGGAGGCAGCAGUGGGGAAUAUUGGACAAUGGGCGCAAGCCUGAUCCAGCCAUACCGCGUGGGUGAAGAAGGCCUUCGGGUUGUAAAGCCCUUUUGUUGGGAAAGAAAAGCAGCCGGCUAAUACCCGGUUGUUCUGACGGUACCCAAAGAAUAAGCACCGGCUAACUUCGUGCCAGCAGCCGCGGUAAUACGAAGGGUGCAAGCGUUACUCGGAAUUACUGGGCGUAAAGCGUGCGUAGGUGGUUUGUUUAAAGUCUGUUGUGAAAAGCCCUGGGGCUCAACCC
This 593-nucleotide ribosomal RNA is filed under the name Stenotrophomonas rhizophila. RNAcentral describes it as "bacterial SSU rRNA". It matches the Rfam family "Bacterial small subunit ribosomal RNA", at positions 36 to 615 of the family's 1533-position model. Lineage: Bacteria; Pseudomonadati; Pseudomonadota; Gammaproteobacteria; Lysobacterales; Lysobacteraceae. The record is from RNAcentral.